Molecule: long non-coding RNA, 459 nt
Organism: Centropristis striata (black sea bass)
Lineage: Eukaryota; Metazoa; Chordata; Actinopteri; Perciformes; Serranidae
Exons: 3
Source: RefSeq, a predicted model, not a curated record
GAAAAAUCGGGUCCAUCCAGUCCCACAGUGACCCAGAAUCCAACCGCAGCCAAAGACUCGAGUCCAACAGAGCAGGAAGCUCUCUGUGCACCUGUUAACAGGAUGAAUAAUAAGACGAGAGCUUCUUGGAUGCAGAAGUCUUCAGGACGGCCUGCUGCUCUGAUCCAGACUUCAGAAUUAAAAAGCCGUCAUGAUGCCAACUUGAGACUGAGCUCAACAUCUUUAAAGUCAUUGCCAGAAAGAGCAGAGGGACUGCUGACUGAGGACUCUGGAGAAGAAGAAGAAACAAAUCAUGAAUAUUGUUGAAUGUACGACUUUGUGAUCAACUUAUUUGUUUUAUCAGUCUUGUUCUGUAUAUUUAAGUAAUUUCACAGUCAGAUGUUCCUGCAGCUUGUUGCAUUUCUUUUUCCUGUUCCAAAACUAAUGUAAGAAACUUAUAAAUAUGCUUUAUUGUUCUAU